GACGAACGCUGGCGGCGUGCCUAAUACAUGCAAGUAGAACGCUGAAGAGAGGAGCUUGCUCUUCUUGGAUGAGUUGCGAACGGGUGAGUAACGCGUAGGUAACCUGCCUUGUAGCGGGGGAUAACUAUUGGAAACGAUAGCUAAUACCGCAUAACAAUGGAUGACACAUGUCAUUUAUUUGAAAGGGGCAAUUGUUCCACUACAAGAUGGACCUGCGUUGUAUUAGCUAGUAGGUGAGGUAAUGGCUCACCUAGGCGACGAUACAUAGCCGACCUGAGAGGGUGAUCGGCCACAAUGGGACUGAGACACGGCCCAGACUCCUACGGGAGGCAGCAGGAGGGAAUCUUCGGCAAUGGGGGCAACCCUGACCGAGCAACGCCGCGUGAGUGAAGAAGGUUUUCGGAUCGUAAAGCUCUGUUGUAAGUCAAGAACGGGUGUGAGAGUGGAAAGUUCACACUGUGACGGUAGCUUACCAGAAAGGGACGGCUAACUACGUG
Molecule: ribosomal RNA, 497 nt
Filed under: uncultured bacterium
Lineage: Bacteria
Description: partial 16S ribosomal RNA
Rfam family: Bacterial small subunit ribosomal RNA
Source: RNAcentral